GGGGGAAUAUUGGGCAAUGGGCGAAAGCCUGACCCAGCAACGCCGCGUGAAGGAAGAAGGCCCUCGGGUUGUAAACUUCUUUUAUGAAGGACGAAACAAAUGACGGUACUUCAUGAAUAAGCCACGGCUAACUACGUGCCAGCAGCCGCGGUAAUACGGGGGGUGCAAGCGUUGUCCGGAAUCAUUGGGCGUAAAGCGUUCGUAGGCGGUAUGUCAAGUCUGGUGUUAAAGCCCGAGGCUCAACCUCGGUUCGGCAUUGGAUACUGGCAAACUAGAAUGUGGUAGAGGUAAAGGGAAUUCCUGGUGUAGCGGUGAAAUGCGUAGAUAUCAGGAGGAACAUCGGUGGCGAAAGCGCUUUACUGGACCAUUAUUGACGCUGAGGAACGAAAGCCAGGGGAGCAAAUG
RNAcentral lists this ribosomal RNA (405 nucleotides) under uncultured bacterium. RNAcentral describes it as "bacterial SSU rRNA". It matches the Rfam family "Bacterial small subunit ribosomal RNA", at positions 355 to 774 of the family's 1533-position model. The record is from RNAcentral.